Molecule: long non-coding RNA, 126 nt
Organism: Sphaeramia orbicularis (orbiculate cardinalfish)
Lineage: Eukaryota; Metazoa; Chordata; Actinopteri; Kurtiformes; Apogonidae
Exons: 3
Source: RefSeq, a predicted model, not a curated record
AAAAUUUAUUUUCAUACACAGCAGUGACACUUCGAUGUCACCUCAGCCAUUGUUGACAAGUAAACCGGAAGAAGUAGUACUCAAACUCAAUAGUUUCAAACCAUUUCCGGGUCAUGCAUGAAAUUC